This 357-nucleotide long non-coding RNA is filed under the name Rattus norvegicus (Norway rat). Its description in RNAcentral is "long non-coding RNA NONRATT018838". Lineage: Eukaryota; Metazoa; Chordata; Mammalia; Rodentia; Muridae. The record is from RNAcentral.
CCUCUUGGAAGCGCCACUUUAGUGAUCAAUUCAGAUCUCUACAGAUGCCCUCACAUUGUGUGUUCUUUGACAUGCAAAGAGAAGUUAAAAUUGCCUCAGAAAUUAUGAUCCCCUGGACACCUUUAACUACUGACUUGCAGGUGAAGUCCUGUGAAACUCACACUUGCUGGCAAAAGGUUGGAGUUACUUUUGGGGAUCAUGCAGGGCUGAAGCCAUCUUGAAAAGCACCAUAAGAAGAUCCCCCUCUAUCUGGACAACAAAAACCAGACUCAUAUUCGCAUCCUCACUGACAUUAGCCCCUCUAUUUCCUCAUGUCCUUUGUAGAAUAAACGCAUAAAGAUGAAGUUACUCGCACAA